GCACGACGCAGUACGACACUUUCUCCCCAGCUGCCCCAAGUGCUGGCACGACGCAGUACGACACUUCCUCCCCAGCUGCCCCAAGUGCUGGCACGACGCAGUACGACACUUCCUCCCCAGCUGCCCCAAGUGCUGGCACGACGCAGUACGACACUUCCUCCCCAGCUGCCCCAAGUGCUGGCACGACGCAGUACGACACUUUCUCCCCAGCUGCCCCAAGUGCUGGCACGACGCAGUACGACAAACUGUACGACAAUACUGCGCGCAAGAACGAUACAACUGUUGACAUAUUUCAAGAUGCCAGGAAUUACGACACAAUAGACCGUUAUCAACACUAUGCCACAAAACCUGACAAUACCAACUGGCCAAGUGAGAGAGGGAGAGGUGAACGAACGUCAGGUAGUCCAUCAAGCCAUCAUGAUAAACUCGACACAAUAAUGAGUACCCAUAAACACCUCACACAGCCCAGCUCGUCCCUGAUGCCAAAGCUGGUGAUGCCAACUGACAUGACCUCCGUAGACAUCCAAGUGGCCCCUGACCUGGGUGGGCGGACAUACGAGGUUCCCGCCACGCCCCCCAACACAGCCACCAUCCCCCUGUCACCUCGCUCACCUCACAUCACCUCGCGCUUGGCGGAGGUGGAGGCCAGGAUGAGAUUGUUGGGGGCGCAGACGGAGAGGGACACCUCGCAGGAUUGGUGGCCCUCAGACACGUCUUCCACUUCCAUCGUCGGGGGGGAGCAGGAGGGCCCGCGGGGAGGGAGGAGAGGGAGGAACCCGUUUUUAGUGAGUGUGGGGGAGAGGGAAGACUCGGUCGGUCUCAGUAGUGUAGACGAGGAGGAAGUGUUCUUACUCCACGACGAGGAUGACGACCACAGAACACACGUCCCACGAGUCUCCCGCCGCGAGUUGAGUACCUCAGACGAGGAGAAAACGACUGCAGGUGUAGUGACCGCGGAAUCCGAGGAAGACGCUAGUGCGAGGAGAGUGCGUGAGUACAUUGCCUCACUGAGUGCUCGGCUGCGACAGAUCCCAGACCAAGAGGAGUCCACGCGAGGUUCCCCGGACUAUAUGGAGACUCCUCCCACCUCGGCCACAUACCCCGCCACGCCCCCUAACUCGGCGGGUAAAGUCUCCCACGAUUCUUCGGAGACGCCUCCAAGUUCGGCGGGGUCCUACACCCACUACGGGGGCGGCCGGCCACCCUCCACCAGCACCCCGCCCAACUCGGCCACUCUCAGGAACUUGUACAGCAGCCGGCGAGCCUCGGCGGACGUGUCGCCCGCCUCCCCGGGGGUGUUUAGCCUCAGCAUCAACAGGAGACUCUCCCUCGACACCCCGCCCAGUUCGGCCGGGCUGGUCACUGCCACGCCCCCAAACUCGGCCACCUCCCACCUUACCUUCGGGGACACACCCCCUAGCUCAGCUGGGUACUCCAACACCCCACCCAACUCUGCUGGGCUAACGGGGAGCUUUGAAGCGGGGCUGGUGGGCCCCGGGGUGGGGCUGGUGGGAGCCGGGGCGGGGCAGACACUCAAGAGAGCCAUGUCGUGCGACUCUGUGAGCUCCGACACCUCCGUCACCCUGGGGGAGCUGGAGGACACCUGCGGCCAGGUAACGGGACACCUGGCCGUCCAACUCAUCUACGACAGCGAUACGGCUGAUCUGGAGGUGGUGGUGGUGGAGGGCCGUGACCUGGUAGGACCUGACCCCCACGUCGCCGUCGAUAGCUACGUCAGGGUGUUUCUCCUGCCUGACAAGUCGACCAAUAUGCAAACUAGGGUGUGUCGACGUACCAACAACCCCACCUACCGCGAGAGAUUCCUGUUCGCCCUGGAGGAGGAGGAGGUACCACAUAGAUCCCUCGCCUUCUACAUGUACGCCUCCGACAAGUUCACCAACACGCUGAUAGGAGAAGCUCAUCUUCGUCUGUCGGAUUUCGAGCUGUCGGGUCCUUGUUCUACUGUACUACCCCUCACUGAUAUGGGCCAGAAGGGCGUGGGGUACGGAGAGAUCAUGUUCUCUCUCUCCUACCUGCCCACGGCUGAGAGACUGACGGUGGUGGUGGUGAAGGCGAGGAGUCUCCAGUGGUUGGGGGACAAGACUACAGGCGACCCAUUCGUCAAGGUGUACGUGCUUCAGAACGGUAAAAAGGUGAUGAAGAAAAAGACGAGUGUGAAGAAGGACAGUCGGUCACCUGUGUUCAACGAGGCGAUGAUCUUCAGUGUGCCGGCCCCAGCCCUCCAUAACAUCCAGCUCCGGGUCACCGUGGCGGAGCACAGCAGCGAUGGUGGUCAGGCCAGAUCAGUGGGUCAUGUGAUCGUGGGAACACAGGCUACAGGCAAGGCCCUCUCUCAUUGGAACCAGAUGAUGUCAGCGUUGAGGAAGCCGAUAGGAAUGUGGCACCCACUGAGGCGGUAAUACACAAGGGAGAUGGGGGUGCCAACAGUGCCAUCUUAAACGUAUGCAAGGAUCAGUAAUGUGAGAAUUUAUUUGACUCACUUAAGUUUCGAUACAAAGAGGGAGUCUCUAAGGUUCCUACGUUAACUUCUCAUAGCUAGUGAUGUGAGAACGUAUCUAACUUCUUCACUUAAGCUACGACACAAAGGUGCCUACUUUAAAUUUUCCUCCUAACUGGUGAUCUGAGAACAUAUCUAACUGACUUACUUAAGCUACAACACAAAGAUGGAUUCUCAAUGGUUCCUACGUUAAAUUUUCCUCCUAACUGGUGUUGUGAGAUCGUAUCUAACUCACUCACUUAAGCUACAACAUAAAAAACUUCACUAAAUUACUUAAAAUCGCCCUACGAAUCAUUGAGACAUCCGACCCAGUACCUCCAUGUAGUCACCUCCAGAAUAUAUUGUAGUAAUCCGUCGGUCAUGGCUGCUUACGACAUAUUGUCAGGAGUUUGAGUCAUCAUUUCUGUGUCGAGGUUAUAGGUAAGACUCAUUCUCUUCCAGUUAGAUUCCUCCUCUCAGCUUCCAGUCAGAACCAACGAGAAUUCUGGUUCAAGUUAUUCGUCUAGGCUCGAGGAGUCUAGGGUGACCUGCCCGGGAAGGUCAUCUGGGUGUGAGGUGUGUUGAUGACCUGCCAGGGAAGGUCAUCUGGGUGUGAGGUGUGUUGAUGACCUGCCAGGGAAGAUCAUCUGGGUGUGAGGUGUGUUGAUGACCUGCCAGGGAAGAUCAUCUGGGUGUGAGGUGUGUUGAUGACCUGCCAGGGAAGGUUAUGUCAUCAAAGAGACUCAAUAUGGCCGUCGUCAACACUGAAGACGACUGAAGACCAAGAGGUGGUGAAAUAACGAUGGUUGUAGAACUAAGUCUCACAACACCUACAGGAUAAAAGUGAUUAUUAGAAACAUGUUGUGAUGGUGAUUAGUAGCGUAAAGAUGCGCUUCUAUGAGCUCUUCCAAUCGGUGAUGGUGAUGUUCAUAUUCUAUAAAGUGAACAGGAAGAACAAUUCAAAAGGUGACUGUGCAGUGAUUCCAUAUAUUGAACAUGAAAAAAACAUUCAAAAGAUGACUGUGAACAUAUCAUUGAGGUGAGGAGAUAAGGAGGAGGACGAUAUAAUCCAAACAUGACUCAAGAACUACACAUCCUAACUCAAUGGCCACCCUUACCCCUCAUACACGUUAAGGUCUCUGGUACACACACACCUCUCAAUAGGCACUUACCAUACAGCACAAAAAUCAAAAAGCACAGGAAGUUAUCUCUUAAUGAAACAAUGUGACUUUAUAAACACAUAAUGAACUACAGAUGUUAAUAGAUGUUGAGGCAAUGUCUUAGUGGUUAUUGAGAAUUAGUUGUCGUUGCGGGAUGACUAAAGGAAGUUCUGUGAGGUGAAUGUUAACAAAGAUGACGUCACGUGUGCGGAUUGGUGGCAGUGGGGAGAUAGUGACAUUGUUGUGAUUGGGUGAACACUCGUCAUGGUGCUUCCUGACUGAGUGUAAAGAUGAUGAAGUGAUAGUGAUGUCGUGAUUAGAAUGAUGAUAAGGGUGAGUGGUAGUGGUGAUAACCGUGGUGACAAUAUUUGGUGAUAGUGAUGCGAUGUGAUGUUCAAAGGUGGUGACUAAUGAAUGUAUGGAACGGUGUACGGAAGGAAUAUGUGAUGACAGUGAUGAUAAUAAUAACAGGCCUUGUAGUGCAGUUACGUGUGAUGAACCAAAAUACUCGCGUGAGAUUUAAAAUACGGAUGACCACAAUGAUGAUGAUAAUACUAGAGAAGGUUUAAAUUGAUGAUAAUUAGGAAGAUUGUCUGUACAGGGCCGUAGAUCAAACUCUCACAGAUAACUCGAUACACCGAGGGGUCCCGCAAGGUCUCUAUCCCACACCGUUUGUAUACAUAACCGAGCUACAUAAUAUAUAUAUACGUAUUUAUUUAUUUAUAUAUAUAAACUACUACUGUAUAGGAUAAGAACUCGUCAGACAUAAUAUAUUCAGCACGCACAGUUCCCAUAAUGCACCGGAAUCGUCUGUGUUCAUAUCAGCUGUGUCUGUCUGUCUGUCUGUUUAUACACACACACACACACACACACACACACACACACACACACACACACACACGCAAAUGUAUCUAUUCACUUUGACAUUUGUGCCUAUGGUUAUGUGUGUGUGUGUGUGUGUGUGUGUGUGUGUGUGUGUAAAACAAUAGCCGUACAUACGCACUUAAUUCCAUGUAUGUGUACAUUAUAUACAUAUAACGAGAGCAGGUGUGUGGCUCAAACAGGUGUAUGGUUCUAACGUCUAUCUGGUUCUAACGUCUAUCUGGUUCUAACGUCUAUCUGGUUCUAACGUCUGUAUGGUUCUAACGUCUGUAUGGUUCUAAACGUCAGUAUGGUUCUAAACGUCAGUAUGGUUCUAACGUCCGUAUGGUUCCAACGUCUGUAUGGUUCCAACGUCUGUAUGGUUCUAACGUCCGUAUGGUUCCAACGUCUGUAUGGUUCUAACGUCAGUACGGUUCUAAACGUCAGUAUGGUUCUAAACGUCCGUAUGGUUCUAACAGAUAUAUAUGUCGCACAAACUAAGGAAUCGUAUUAUUUCUAGGAACCCCCCAGAACUGCUGACAAUGAGACGACCACCACCACAAGGUCCUAUGACUGCCAUGACUAGUUUAAGCAGUGGUAAGAGGGUGGAGGAGGGAUCUUAUCUUAGGGCAGGGAGAGAAUACAGUGGUAAGAGGGUGGAGGAGGGGUCUUAUCUUAGGGCAGGGAAUGAAGAGUGUGGAAGGUUUUAAGACCCUCCCCCCCUCCCCCCUCCCCUCGUAGUUUAGAUGACAGUAGAGUUAAUGUGAGAGGUUCUGGGAACUUCCAUGGCUACAGAUGUUUACAGGAGUCAGGGAAGCAGAGUUUUAGGGUACACAACACCUACACAGUACGUCUACAUGUCUGUUUCUCUGUGACAGUCAUGGAUGUGGGUGCGGAGAGAGAGAGAGAGAGAGAGAGAGAGAGAGAGAGAGAGAGACAGAGAGAGAGCCGCGCCAACCUUCAUGUUUGUCAAAGAACGACGUUUAAGUUAUGUCAAUAGUGACUCUUUGUCCUGAUAUGAAAUAGGUAAAAAGUAAGCAGACAGAAAUACACUCACCGUUAAAACUCCUGUAUUGCCUUAGCGAGAACACGUGUGAGUUCUCAUAUACAUACAUACAUACUGAAGCCAAACUCUUCCAUAGUGAUUGUGAUAACCAACAUAGUCAAGAGUUCAGGUCUAGUGUGGGGUUCCUUAUAGACGUCAGACUCUUUCGUGGAUUCUUUUUACCACAGACAGAAGAGCAUCGGUGUAAAUAAAUCAAAAUGUAUCAUAAAGGAUCGUGUGUAGCAUCAGGUAUACCGUGUGUUAGGAUCAAAAGCAUUAGGUUCUUAUAUAUUAUCGUUUUGAUACGGAAACAUUAUUGGAACAUGUGAGGAAAAAAGAUAGUUAUAUAACCUAACCUCUUCUAAAAUAAAUACUAAACAAUAAUUCUUUGAUAUUGUUAAAGCUAGAGACGUCAUUAUAUAUAUAUUUUGUGUAUGUGUGUAUCAUUGUCUGUCUCACACUAACAAAUAAUAUUGCUUGGCGUUCAGUAUGACAACAGGGUCACUUUUUACUAAACUCUUAAUUGUCCCGGUAAAGACUCACUAAGGCUCCUGGGCUAAAUAUUCCUCAUAACUAAAGAUUUAACACUUGAUCAUACUGGUUAGCGAAGAUAAAAUACUAAAACAGCAUUAAAAUUAACACUGAGACUCUACCCUAACUAGAAACGUUCACUUAGCGCCAGUUAGGAGAAUAUUUUAUACGUAAAUUAACUUUGUCUUCUAACUGAUGAACGUAUCUAGUUAAGGUAAAGUCUCAGUGUUAAUUCUAAUGUUAUUUGUAUGUCUUAUCGUUAGUUAACCAAUAAGAUACAGUGUUACGUGUUUACUUACGACGAAGGAUUCAUCUUACGAACCUCGGUGACUCGUGAUACUAAAAUAAUGUUCCUUAGUCAUUAGUCUUUGGUAGAAUUAGAUUAUUAUAACUAUUUCCAACUUGGACAAUCGACCGCGAGAUCCCACCGUCGCUAACACUGAACUUCUUGAGUCACCUGAUGAUUAGCCCCUCCUAGCAUUUCUCAUCUGAUGGUUAAUUAACACUAAUCAUACCUGGUGGGGGUUAGGUCAGGUCAGGUCAGGUCAGGUCAGGUCAGGUCAGGUCAAUCUCAAGGUGACAUCAGCUGGUGUGCUUAAUCUCCAGGUGAUUCAACUUCUAAAUAAGAACCUUGUUUUAUAAGAAAAUUUUUAUUACCAUUAACUAAUUUGUAUAAAAAAAAUACAAAAAGAAAUACAUAUGAAAAAUAUUACAUAAAAUUCUAUCAACAUCUUUAAUAAAAAAAAAACUUGAAUAUUGUAAGUUUUAAGUUACUAAUGGUCCACAGUGUGUGAUCAUGAUAAUAUAUAGUGACGCCAUGACAUCCCCCCCCACUGUGGCACCAUAACACCCCACACACUCCCACUGUGGCACCAUAACACCCCACACACCUCCCCCCCACUG
Molecule: unclassified non-coding RNA, 6997 nt
Filed under: Homarus americanus (American lobster)
Lineage: Eukaryota; Metazoa; Arthropoda; Malacostraca; Decapoda; Nephropidae
Description: synaptotagmin-12-like, transcript variant X1
Source: RNAcentral